GUGGGGAAUCUUGCGCAAUGGGCGAAAGCCUGACGCAGCCAUGCCGCGUGAAUGAUGAAGGUCUUAGGAUUGUAAAAUUCUUUCACCGGGGACGAUAAUGACGGUACCCGGAGAAGAAGCCCCGGCUAACUUCGUGCCAGCAGCCGCGGUAAUACGAAGGGGGCUAGCGUUGCUCGGAAUUACUGGGCGUAAAGGGCGCGUAGGCGGACAGUUUAGUCAGAGGUGAAAGCCAAGGGCUCAACCUUGGAAUUGCCUUUGAUACUGGCUGUCUUGAGUACGGGAGAGGUGAGUGGAACUCCGAGUGUAGAGGUGAAAUUCGUAGAUAUUCGGAAGAACACCAGUGGCGAAGGCGACUCACUGGCCCGUUACUGACGCUGAGGCGCGAAAGCGUGGGGAGCAAACAGGAUUAGAAACCCUUGUAGUCC
This 425-nucleotide ribosomal RNA is filed under the name uncultured bacterium. Its description in RNAcentral is "partial 16S ribosomal RNA". It matches the Rfam family "Bacterial small subunit ribosomal RNA", at positions 354 to 796 of the family's 1533-position model. The record is from RNAcentral.